GUUGGUGUUUCUGGGGUUUGUUUUCCUUUUUCGGCACAGGUAGGCGGGGGGCGGUGUUUGACGGCAUGCCGGCACACCUGCGGCGCAUCGGACGUCAUCAGUGGGAGCAUUUAGGGAGCUGAGUGAUGGACGUCUGAUGUCGGAUUAUUGUCGUUCCCAUAAGUGCCUGUCUCGCCGCCUGCUCGCCUGCCUGUUUCUUUGUGCGCUGGCCCAUUUUUGGAUCUGUGACAGAGACUUACCUGGCGCUGGCCUGCGAUCGUUGUUACUCCUGUAUCCUGGUGUUUCAAGUAGCUCUGGUUUGCGCAUCUAUCUGUCUGCGUACCUUGGCUCCCGUUCCGUUCCCCCUCGGCUCUGUUUAUUUGCACAUUUAUUUGGUUAUUGUAUAUAGCCCUGUCCCCUUGUAAAUAUUUC
Oreochromis aureus is the source of this 411-nucleotide long non-coding RNA. The record is from Ensembl. Lineage: Eukaryota; Metazoa; Chordata; Actinopteri; Cichliformes; Cichlidae.